CAGUAGCCGCGGGAAUACGAAGGGGGCUAGCGUUGUUCGGAUUUACUGGGCGUAAAGCGCACGUAGGCGGAUUCUUAAGUCAGAGGUGAAAUCCCAAGGCUCAACCUUGGAACUGCCUUUGAUACUGGGGAUCUCGAGUCCGGGAGAGGUGAGUGGAACUGCGAGUGUAGAGGUGAAAUUCGUAGAUAUUCGCAAGAACACCAGUGGCGAAGGCGGCUCACUGGCCCGGUACUGACGCUGAGGUGCGAAAGCGUGGGGAGCAAACAGGAUUAGAUACCCGGGUAGUCCCUGUCUCUUAUAC
RNAcentral lists this ribosomal RNA (301 nucleotides) under uncultured bacterium. RNAcentral's name for it is "partial 16S ribosomal RNA". It matches the Rfam family "Bacterial small subunit ribosomal RNA", at positions 509 to 807 of the family's 1533-position model. The record is from RNAcentral.